This is a long non-coding RNA of Cyprinodon variegatus (sheepshead minnow), 320 nucleotides long. RefSeq lists it as uncharacterized. The transcript has 2 exons. NCBI's taxonomy places the organism in Eukaryota, Metazoa, Chordata, Actinopteri, Cyprinodontiformes, Cyprinodontidae. The record is from RefSeq and is a predicted model, not a curated record.
AGCACUGACAGAGGAAAUAAAGAGUCAUUUGUUAACCUGAAAACAGAAGCUCCUGUCUCUAAAGUUAUCAUCUAUGAGGAAACAAACCAGAUCAUCUGCAGUUCAGAGGGAAUCUACCCUCAACCUGAACUCUCCUGGUCCACCAUCCCUCCGUCCAACACACCUCUACGUGUUACAACCACAGUCCAUCAGACUGAGGAUCAGCUUUACAGCAUCCGCAGCUCUCUGGUUUUAGAGGAUGAUCCUAAUGUGACCUACAGCUGCACCGUCAGAACUCAGAGGAACAACAUGACAGCCACUUAUAGGAAACCAGGUGACCC